UACAGAGGUCUCAAGCGUUGUUCGGAUUCAUUGGGCGUAAAGGGUGUGUAGGUGGCGCCGUAAGUCGGGUGUGAAAUUUCGGAGCUUAACUCCGAAACUGCAUUCGAUACUGCGGUGCUUGAGGACUGGAGAGGAGACUGGAAUUCAUGGUGUAGCAGUGAAAUGCGUAGAGAUCAUGAGGAAGACCAGUGGCGAAGGCGGGUCUCUGGACAGUUCCUGACACUGAGGUGCGAGAGCGUGGGGAGCGAACCGG
RNAcentral lists this ribosomal RNA (253 nucleotides) under uncultured bacterium. RNAcentral's name for it is "partial 16S ribosomal RNA". It matches the Rfam family "Bacterial small subunit ribosomal RNA", at positions 524 to 776 of the family's 1533-position model. The record is from RNAcentral.